GAUGAACGCUGGCGGCGUGCCUAAUACAUGCAAGUCGAGCGAACGGACGAGAAGCUUGCUUCUCUGAUGUUAGCGGCGGACGGGUGAGUAACACGUGGAUAACCUGCCUAUAAGACUGGGAUAACUUCGGGAAACCGGAGCUAAUACCGGAUAAUAUUUUGAACCGCAUGGUUCAAAAGUGAAAGACGGUCUUGCUGUCACUUAUAGAUGGAUCCGCGCUGCAUUAGCUAGUUGGUAAGGUAACGGCUUACCAAGGCAACGAUGCAUAGCCGACCUGAGAGGGUGAUCGGCCACACUGGAACUGAGACACGGUCCAGACUCCUACGGGAGGCAGCAGUAGGGAAUCUUCCGCAAUGGGCGAAAGCCUGACGGAGCAACGCCGCGUGAGUGAUGAAGGUCUUCGGAUCGUAAAACUCUGUUAUUAGGGAAGAACAUAUGUGUAAGUAACUGUGCACAUCUUGACGGUACCUAAGCAGAAACCACGGCUAACUACGUG
This 496-nucleotide ribosomal RNA is filed under the name uncultured bacterium. RNAcentral's name for it is "partial 16S ribosomal RNA". It matches the Rfam family "Bacterial small subunit ribosomal RNA", at positions 28 to 507 of the family's 1533-position model. The record is from RNAcentral.